GACGAACGCUGGCGGCGUGCUUAACACAUGCGAGUCGAACGGAAAGGCCCGGCGUUUGUGGGGUGCUCGAGAGGCGAACGGGGGAGUAACACGUGAGUAACCUGCCCUUGACUUUGGGAUAAAUUCAGGAAAAUGGGGCUAAUACCGGAUAGGAGCUCCUGAUGCAUGGGGGGGGAUGGAAAGAUUCGGCGGUUGGGGAUGGUCUAGCGGCUUAUCCGCUUGUUGGUGGGGUAGUGGCUGCCAAAGGCUUUGACGGGUAGCCGGCCUGGGAGGGUGACCGGCCACAUUGGGACUGAGGUACGGCGCAGUCGCCUACGGGAGGCAGCAGUCGAGAGUCUUGCACAGUGGGCCGACGCCUGAUGCGGCGACGCCGCGAGCGGGAUGCCGUCCUUCUGGUUGUAAACCACUGUCGCCUGUGCCGAGGCGUGAGUGACGGUACUGGGUAAAGAAGCACCGGCUAACUACGUG
RNAcentral lists this ribosomal RNA (468 nucleotides) under uncultured bacterium. RNAcentral describes it as "partial 16S ribosomal RNA". It matches the Rfam family "Bacterial small subunit ribosomal RNA", at positions 28 to 507 of the family's 1533-position model. The record is from RNAcentral.